CCGGGCCGGCUGCGGAAGCUGUGGGCCUGGACUGGGGGUAGCAGCAGAGGGGCGGCCAGGUAGGUGCAGGAGUUCAGUGGCAUGACCAGGGCUCACUGCAACCUUGAUCUGGGCUCAAGUGAUCCUCCUACCUCAGCUUCCUGAGUAGCUAGGACCACAGGUGUGCACCAACCACACCCGACUAAUUUUUGUAGAGAUGAGAUCCCACUAUGUUACCCAGGCUGGUCUUGAACUCCUGGGCUCAGGUGAUCAUCCUGCCUUGGCUUCCCAAAGUACUGGGAUUAUAGGCUUGAGCCACCGUGCCUGGCCUGUGAUCAGAAUUCUCAUUUUUUUAGUCACUAAAAAUGCUGGGGGGCACUCCAUUCUCCAUUAUGUGAUUAGUUCACAUUGCAUGCUUGUAUCAAAACAUCAUAUAUACCCCACAAAUAUAUACAAAAAACUUUAAAAUUUUAAGUAUUAAUUGCUCAGGAAAAAAUUAAAAUGCUGGGGUGCUGAAAUCUCAAGGGCCCCAUUACAAAACUCCUUAGGAACCUCGCCCUCUCUCUGCUGUAAGGACUGGUUCCAGAAUGAGAGAAUUUAAAAGACAUUCCCCCCCCAAAAUGUUCAUAAUGUCACCCCGGAAACCUGCGAAUAUGUUAUAUUACAUGACCAGGGAGAAGUAAGGUUGCAGAUGGCAGUAAGGUUGCUAAUGGGCUGACCUUAAGAUAAGGAGAUGAUCCUGGAUUAUCUGGGUGGACCCAAUGUAAUCACAAGGGUCCUUAACUGUGGAAUAGUGAGGUGGCUGAGUCAGAGGCAGAGUGAUGCAAUGACUGAAAGACUUAACCAGCCAUCACCGGCUUUGAAUACGGAAGACGGUCAUGAGCCAGGGAAUGCAGGCAGGCUCUGGGAGCUGAAAAAAGCAAGAAAAUGGAUUCUCCCCUGGAGCCUCCAGAAGGGAUGCGGUCCUGCCAACCCCUUGUCAGUGAGCCAUUUCAGAUUUCUGACUUCCAGGACUGUAAGAAAAUAAACUUGUCUUGUUUUCAG
Molecule: long non-coding RNA, 1023 nt
Filed under: Homo sapiens (human)
Lineage: Eukaryota; Metazoa; Chordata; Mammalia; Primates; Hominidae
Description: HSALNT0359741
Source: RNAcentral